AUGGAAACGAGGCGGCAGCCCAACCGUCAAGCAGCUGAUCGCUGACACUCAAUGUGGUUUCACUUUUUUUUUUUAGAAAUGGUUUAGCGUCGUCAGAAAAAGUCCGUUAGCAUCUCAAAGGUAAGGCUAAAUACAAGAGGUAACGAUAGACAUGAGCUCUUGUUUAUUAAGUUUGGGCUUUUAAUGUCAUCUUGUGUGUAGAUGCUCUCUCUCUUUCUCUCUCUCUCUCUCUCUCUCUCUCUCCAUAUAUAUCAAUGGAUGAAUGGAAGUAACUUAACCGAAUUAAUUUAACCUUAAAAGUAUCCACUGUUUAAUCCUAAAAUGUGCACUAACGUAACCGGAUAACGUUACAUCACUUACAUAGAGCGUGAAAAUGGACUGAAACCUUCAGGUUUUGAUCUUUCAUGGUAAACACAUAAAUACAAACUUGUUCUGUGAUUUCAGAAGUGCCAGAAAAAAACCUCUAUGACGCAGAAGUUCCUGAUUUUAACAUUUCUGAAGGGAGCUGCUGACAGAGAGGAUGAAAACAUACACAUUUUGAUGUCCACGCUGUAGGAGCAUUACUAAAUAAUGCUUAUGUUCCUAGGUUCUUCCAUGCUGAUGGCUGUGCUCUAGUCAUAUCUCCUGUCGAAGAACAUUUUUAGACAUUAUGAACCAUGAAUAGUAAGCAAUUCGUCAAACAUACACCAUUCAAAAAUGUAAGGGUCAGAUUUGUCAUGUAUUUCAAAGACAUCUUUUAUGCUCACCACUGCUGCAUUUAUUUGAUUAAAAUACAGUUAAAUUGUGAAAUUACCAU
Long non-coding RNA from Carassius gibelio (silver crucian carp), 796 nucleotides. RefSeq lists it as uncharacterized. Lineage: Eukaryota; Metazoa; Chordata; Actinopteri; Cypriniformes; Cyprinidae. The transcript has 3 exons. The record is from RefSeq and is a predicted model, not a curated record.